ACCUGCCCUAUGAAUAAUUUACUUUUAAAUGGCUGCGGUACUUUGACCGUGCAAAGGUAGCAUAAUAAUUAGUUUCUUAAUUGGGAACUGGAAUGAAUGGUCGAACGAGAAAAAGACUGUCUCAAUUUAAUUUAAAUUAGAAUUUUAUUUUUAAGUAAAAAAGCUUAAAUAUACUUAAAAGACGAGAAGACCCUAUAGAGUUUUAUAUAAAUUAUUAUAAUUGAAAGUUAAAGUAUUUUAGAUUUGGCUAUAAUAAUUUAUAUUUGGUUGGGGCGAUUAAAAAAUUGAAUUAACUUUUUUUAGAUUAAACCAUUGAUUUAUGAGUAGGUGAUCCAUAUUUAUUAUGAUUAGAAGAUU
RNAcentral lists this ribosomal RNA (357 nucleotides) under Pseudoarachnodes insularis. RNAcentral's name for it is "partial 16S ribosomal RNA". The stretch from base 1 to 168 matches the Rfam family "Archaeal large subunit ribosomal RNA", at positions 1949 to 2143 of the family's 2987-position model. Lineage: Eukaryota; Metazoa; Arthropoda; Insecta; Coleoptera; Scarabaeidae. The record is from RNAcentral.